Molecule: ribosomal RNA, 301 nt
Filed under: uncultured bacterium
Lineage: Bacteria
Description: partial 16S ribosomal RNA
Rfam family: Bacterial small subunit ribosomal RNA
Source: RNAcentral
CAGUCGCCGCGGGAAUACGUAGGUGGCAAGCGUUGUCCGGAUUUAUUGGGCGUAAAGCGAGCGCAGGCGGUUUCUUAAGUCUGAUGUGAAAGCCCCCGGCUCAACCGGGGAGGGUCAUUGGAAACUGGGAAACUUGAGUGCAGAAGAGGAGAGUGGAAUUCCAUGUGUAGCGGUGAAAUGCGUAGAUAUAUGGAGGAACACCAGUGGCGAAGGCGGCUCUCUGGUCUGUAACUGACGCUGAGGCUCGAAAGCGUGGGGAGCAAACAGGAUUAGAUACCCGCGUAGUCCCUGUCUCUUAUAC